GACGAACGCUGGCGGCGUGCUUAACACAUGCAAGUCGAACGAAGCACUUAUGACAGAUUCUUCGGAUGAUGGAUUAAGUGACUGAGUGGCGGACGGGUGAGUAACGCGUGGGUAACCUGCCUCAUACAGGGGGAUAACAGUUAGAAAUGACUGCUAAUACCGCAUAAGCGCACAGUACUGCAUGGUACAGUGUGAAAAACUCCGGUGGUAUGAGAUGGACCCGCGUCUGAUUAGCUAGUUGGUGGGGUAACGGCCCACCAAGGCGACGAUCAGUAGCCGACCUGAGAGGGUGACCGGCCACAUUGGGACUGAGACACGGCCCAAACUCCUACGGGAGCAGCAGUGGGAA
Molecule: ribosomal RNA, 349 nt
Filed under: uncultured bacterium
Lineage: Bacteria
Description: bacterial SSU rRNA
Rfam family: Bacterial small subunit ribosomal RNA
Source: RNAcentral